UCCUACGGGAGGCAGCAGUGGGGAAUAUUGCACAAUGGGGGAAACCCUGAUGCAGCGACGCCGCGUGAGCGAAGAAGUAUUUCGGUAUGUAAAGCUCUAUCAGCAGGGAAGAAAAUGACGGUACCUGACUAAGAAGCACCGGCUAAAUACGUGCCAGCAGCCGCGGUAAUA
Molecule: ribosomal RNA, 171 nt
Filed under: uncultured bacterium
Lineage: Bacteria
Description: partial 16S ribosomal RNA
Rfam family: Bacterial small subunit ribosomal RNA
Source: RNAcentral